GCAGGGAGCCGGCCCUGCCUCUCACGCGCGCGGCUCAGGCCUGCUCUCCCCUCGGCGCGCAUCGGGGCGACGCACUCUGCCCUUCUAGCCCGCGCCGGCCGGUGACGCCAUCGGAAGGCGACCGGAAGAGCCGGCGCCGCGUGUCCGUCCGACUAUGGCUCCGCGUCACCUCCGCCUCCUCCCCUCUUCCUGUGUCCCCUCUCCGUAUCCCGUCCCUUUUUCCCUUUUCUGACUGCAAAGUGGGCCUCUUUAACCUGUUUCUGGGCCCCGUGGGGAAGAAUGAGAAGCAGAGUAGGAGGCGAGGGAGCAAGGAGCGAAGGAAGGUCCUCCCUGCAGAUUGUCUGCAAUCAGGCCACACUUUGGUUGGAGCAGGUGCACGGAUGAAUUUGUCUCUUUCAAGUAAACAGGUGUUUAAUAACGGUUUCACAUUUAUAUUUAGUAUGUUGUCAUCACUGCUAAGAGUAGAGACCUCCCUGGCCAGCAAGGGGACCGACCACCCAGGAUGACCCACCUUCCAGGGGCUCGGCCCUGGGUGCCCUGUGGGAGAGCUGGGGCCAGGCAGGCUUCUACUGGGGUCUUGCAAGGAGGGGUUGGGGAGGGUGUGUGCCUGGCCUCUGCCCUCACCUCCCUCUUCUCCCAGCCUGUCUUAGCUAAGUUCCUCCAGCUCAGAGGUUACUGUGUAGGUUUAGCCUCUCCGACUUCUUCCUGUUGUUUAGUCACUCGUUACCUCGUGCACCAAGAGGAAGGCGUCCUGGAGCUGCAUCCUUCCUGCGUGGGCCAUGGGGGCGUGAGUGCGAGGAGUGGCUCUGGCCAUUAGGAGCCCUUGAUAUCAGACUCCUUGAUAUUUACUCCGUGAAGUCCUCAAGGAUGUCCUUCUUUCCAACAUCCUGUUUGCAGCUGGAGAUGUGGGGUCAGUUUGCAAGGAAAAAGAAGUCGUUCAGACGGCUGGUCCCUGGAGAGGCGAUUUACUGCAUAAAUGGCGAAAUCGAAGGAUGAACACUGAUGGUGGCAGUGGUGAAAAGAGGAAACGUGCAGUGUUGCUUCGGAACGUUUACUGUUUUGGAAAACUUGAAUUUUGUCCGCAUGUAUUUUCAAAAUGCCUUUGGAGCUGUCCUUGGAGGAAAAGACAUGAUGCAGAUUUCACCAAAGGUCCGUCUGCUUUGUUGUCCACAUCUUCAGGAAACAGCUCCAUGGAGAAGGGGAACCAUCCCUCAACACACAUGGCCAAGGGAUGGACGUGCAAGCAACCCCCCAGAUCAGGUCAUGGGGGUCCUAGGAGGAGAGCCAGCUCUCAAGGGGCCCUGGGACCUCUCAGCCCAGGCCGGAGGGGAGAAGGGACCUGCCCAGGGUCCCUUGGCAUGGCCUGUUCUGCGUACAAGGGGAGGCGUGCUGCCCCACGGCCACCGGCUGCCUGCAAGAGAGCCAGGCUUCAUGGUCCAGGCUCAGCAUCGGACCUUCCCCUGACCCCCCUUGGGCUUUGUGCGGCCUUUGUUUCUUGAGGCUUGUUUGCUCCUAUGUGAGCCAGUACCGCUGAGACACU
Molecule: long non-coding RNA, 1540 nt
Organism: Globicephala melas (long-finned pilot whale)
Lineage: Eukaryota; Metazoa; Chordata; Mammalia; Artiodactyla; Delphinidae
Source: RefSeq, a predicted model, not a curated record